Molecule: non-coding RNA, 2442 nt
Organism: Sturnus vulgaris (Common starling)
Lineage: Eukaryota; Metazoa; Chordata; Aves; Passeriformes; Sturnidae
Source: RefSeq, a predicted model, not a curated record
GCCACAGUCAGUGCAGCUACCACAGACCUAGGAAACACAAUAAUCUCAGUUGUACAAGGCUUUCAUGCCACAGCUUUAAUCCUAACCCACUAACCAUUGAUUUUUGCAUCACCUUCGUCUGCAGGACUUGUUUCCACCUGCCCUAAGGGGGUCUGCAGCCAGCCUGGCCUCCUCCCCACAGUGUCAGCAGCUGAGCAUCGUUGGAGGACACAGAGGAACUCUGCUCUUCCCAGCCAAAGCAAUGAUCACCUGGGACUUGGAAACAGGAGGGAACAUUGUAUUUUCCAGCCAGCUCUACUCACGAGUGAUUGUGCAGAGCUCUGCUAAUGGGCUCUGCCAAGCUGUGGUCACCCUACGGAGCUAUUGGAAGGAGAGGUGGCAAGUUGGAAAGGACUACAAGAGAACUCUGCAUGAUAUUUUUUGAUGAGCUGAUUAUUCAGAAAUUUCACAAGAGCUGAAAUAUAUCACUCUGUUCUGAAACUCACAGCCCUGCCAACACACAGGACAGCUUACACGAGCAGCAGCAUUUUCUCCUUCACAGAGUUGCUUGGCCUGCACGUCAGGAACCAGAUGUGGGAAUCGGACAAGGCUUUUCAGCAGCCAUCGACCACAGUGACAGUGAGAGGUGGGGAGUGGAUAGGAGGACACAGAGAGCUGGCAUAGAAAUUAUUUUGGUACUUUCAUGGCUGUCACUAUGUGUGUAUUUGGGCUUGAGAGCUUUUCAUUAGCUCUGUGGGUAGUGGGGCAUUAAGAUUUUUAUUGCUUUACAGCUGGGUAUGAGAUCACCCCAGAUCCCACACGGAUUCAGGUAUUUUUAUUUCAGGAGUGCUCAGUCCCUGGCCACAUUUCAGGGUACUGUCACAGGCCAGGAGCUGACCUUGACUCCCCCCUUUGCACCUGUCUUAGCAUCAGCCUGCAGCCCAGUCAGGCUCCCACAGAGACCAACAGAACAUUCUCCCUUCUCUAAAUUAGCAUUAAUUAAAAAAGCCCCACUGGCUUAUUUGAGUACAGAAUCAAAAGAGAGCCUGAUACCUGGGGGGUGGGUGAAUGUAUGCUGGGGGAGGUUAGAAGCAGCAUAGAUUUCUGAAUUAAUACACAAAGUCUUCAAGAAGCUGACACAGCCCAUCCCCAGCCCAUUGAUCUGUCAGCACACAACCAUUUUGAGCUGCCUGGGGUGGCAUCAGCUGUCCCGUGGAGAACUGGAGCUGGUACAUCUGCAUCUGGAGCAAGAACAAUGCUGACCUGCUGAAAGACAAAUAACAAACAUCCCCAUGCUGCACUCACAGCCUUUGCUGAGAGCACUUGGGCUGCCUGGCAGGAAGAGGAUGCAUGGGCUGAGGUGUCCCCAUCAGAUGUGUGCUCCCAAUAACCUGUCUGUUCUUCUGUGUGUGUCCUGAGACAACUCUUCUGCAAUUUCUGUUCCAGGGCAGUCAGGGAACUUGUGGAGCUCCCAGCCUGCUCCUGCAAGUCAGUGAGGAGAAUUGUGGCUGAACCAUAUCUGGUUUACUCGUGGAAAAAGAGGCACACAGGCACAGCCCUUCAGAGGAACUGCUGCUUCAGGAAAAACUCUUAGGAAUUGAAAAAAUCUGGGAAAUUUUCCUCUGUGUAAGGACAGGGAAUGAGAGUCCGAGCUCUGUCCUGUUAUGAAGCCACCCCAUUGGGACCACUCCUCUUGUGCCAUAUGAGCCCCUGCACAGGUCAGGCUGUAACCCUCCAGGACAGACAAUCAUGGAGCAGUUCAAUAUGUCCUGAACGUGAUCACACUGUGCUGCCAGGCAGGCAAAGCUCUGCCAGGCUCUGGCUUGGACCUGGCCGUGACCUCCUCAAGCCCUCAGGUAGGCUCUGCACCCUAUGGCCUCCCUCAGCAUGACUCUUAUUGAAGGACUUGGGGCAUUUUGUUUUUCAUCCUGAGCUUGGGGCACACAGAAAGCUUUGGUUGUUUGCUUCCCUGCAGUUCCAGAGGAUUAUUGGUGCUCUUUUCACGCAAAUCUUACGGACUUAUUUCUUCUCUCUUCCAUCUGUUGUGUGACAUCUUUUCCUGUGUCAUGUGUUAGCAAUCAACAACUAACUCAUGGUGGGUUUCUUCCUGUGCAGGGCUCUGAACACAGCAUUUCUUGCUGAGAGAUUGUUCCACGUGGGAGGCUCCCACUUGUUAUUUGUGCCAGUCUAACCCUACUGUGAUUACUAUCCCAUGAGAAACUUUACAUAUUAGUUGUUUUACUGAAGUGUUUUGUAUCACUUAAAUCUCCAGAAGCUUUGUCAUAAUGCAUUAAAAGAACAGAGAAAAGAAAGAUCUCAGGAAGCUUAAUAUUUCUUGUUAUAGAACCAAUCUGAAGAAAAAACAGCUUUCCAAAUUUAUCUUGGCUAGUCUGUAAAAAAAGUCUUAGUUUUUAUGAAUUGCUACACUACUAAAAGAUCUAAUUUUUCUAUGAUAAAAUAGCC